UCUGUAGUGGGUCGUCUCUACCACUGCUGUGUGGUCUAUAUCUACCACCUUUGUGUGGUCUUUCUCCACCAUCCGUGUGGCUCUUCUCCACCAUUAGUGUGUGGAUUUUCUCUCCCCACUCUCUUUGUGGUCCUUUCCAUCUAAAUCAGAAUCUUCCCAUCAAUCUUUCCCCAAAUCUCUGUUUUCAUACCCAUAAAUUCAUACCCAAAUUGCAUGAGGUUGCUUAGGGAGGAGACCAUCACUGCUCCUCAGUGGGUUUGGUUGGUUGCCUCUGUGUUUUGCCUUUCGUGGAUCCUGGUUGCGGGAAUAGCACUAAUUCCACAGCCAGUGAGUGGAUCGGCACCCCUUAUUGCUGAGUCUCUGCCUUCUUUUUUGUUUAUGAUACAAUUUCGGCAAGCUUUGAUUCUCCUUGCUUGGCUUUGUCAUGGCCUAGUUCAAGCUGAGUCGAAAAGAUCCCUCAUAGCCAUUGUAAAUAAGGCCAAAGUUCUUAUUGCUCAGUUAGUCAGAAUGAAGAUUCUCAUGUGGAAUUGUAGAGGAGCUCUUAAUCUGGAAUUUAAGAGAAGGGUUUGUGAGUUGGUUGCGAAUCAUCGCCCCUCGAUUAUGGUUAUUACGGAGACCAGAGUUGGUGGUGAGAGAGCUGAAAAAAUCAUAGAGGGAUUGCCCUUUGAUGGUUUUAUUACAACGGACACUAUUGGGUAUGCUGGUGGCUUAUGGAUCCUGUGGAGAGGGUGCGGAAAUUUCUCUGUUGGCGAAUACGGAGCAGGAGAUACAUGCUACUCUUAAGGACGCUUGCCUGCAGCUUGGGUUUGGUCAACAUCAGUCUCCUCCGUAAUCCAAGGAAUACUAUCCAAGUUGGGGGUGUAAUAGUUAUCAUCAAGAUGGAUAGGAGCAACAUCAGCGGCAAGCUCCUCCUCCUCCAGUGCACACUCUUCAUCGGAGUUCAGUGCGAGUGUGUUUGAUGAAAUCUAAAGGUGCCCAUUUGCAGUACUGGGGGCAAACAACUGCUUCAGCUUAUCGUAGUCGGGGCAUCCCUUCUUUCGCAGGUUAUUUGCGUUCCGAUUAGCCUACAACAACACAAGCAUAGGAACAAUUGUUAGGCAUCAAAGUAAUCAGAACAAUACAAAGACAUACCAUACUAACAUGAAACUCGAAAUGCAUAAAGUAACAUACCGCCACCACAUGUACCCAAACCUUGUCGAUGCAUGUAACAAUUUGGGUGGCCUCAUCCCACCCCAACCCCAACCCCAUACGAUUCAGCAAUUGACUCCACUUGCAUUGUUUACCCCAAAGCCUAUUGUGCUUUUGGAAGACUUUCUUAGCGGUGAAAUUUUUACCAGUCCUUUUAUUAAGUUCUUGUGUCAUUGUUUCCCACAUAGGGCCCUUCAAAACACCAUUCUCCAUAUUAUCCUUUAUUUGUUCCUCUACCAUAAUCUCUAUAAAUAUGUGUUCCAUGUGGGGAGGCCACAUUUUACCAUCCGCAUCUUGGGAUUCAUGUGCCAUCUAAUUCAAAUAUCUCGCAUGGUAAGAUAAACACACUUUGUAUUGAUAGGUAAAAAAAUGAAUAAGGAAUAUUAAUGUGUUACCGCGACCAAGUAUGUUGUGUAAGGAGAAAGUGUACAAGUAACUCUACAUAAACAAGCGGUACAUGUAAAUGAAGAUAACACCAUACUGACAUAUACUCCAAUUCAUAGCUAAACAUGUACAUUAUGACCAUGUAACAUAUAAAAAGUCAAAAGACCGAAACAUUGUUUUAUUACAAAAGUGGUCACUAAUAGCCAUAGAAUAGUGCAUGUGAAAGUGUACGCUAACGACACCAUAGUAGUCUACAAACCAUAGUGGGAAAAAAAUAAGUUAGCAGAAACAAAAUGGUUAGCUAUGCACUACAAUGCUUCUAAGUUCACCAAUCACCUCUUACUGAGAUAGACCAACCCCCCUCAUUCGGACCCACCACUGGCCACCCACACCUUGGCCCAUAACGAACUCCGUUGGCCCUACAAUACUCCCUCCGAACCAUACUGAACCGACUCAUAACCUGCCUCUUGCGGAAAUCCUUCCCAGUCCGAGCAUUGAGAGUGUUUAUGAUCACAUCCCACAAUGGCUCAUGGGGAAGCCUUGCCGCAAAAUUACCCAGCAGGAAUUGGCCGAAGACAGUGUCACAUAGUUCAUCGACACAAUCAUCAUCCCACCUCCUUAAAUCCCUAGCCAUCUAACAACAACCUCUAAUCAUGUAACAAUCACAUGUAAACAAUAAACAUUUCCAUAUAUUCAAUCAAAGUCAGACAAUAGUGUUUAGGGGUCUUAUCUUAAGGUGCAAUAGUUUUUACUUGAUCCUCCCUUAAAAACGCACCAUAUUGUUUAUGGAUACAGUUAGCUAUGUUACAUACUCUAUUGAUCUAUUGAUGUAUAUUCUAUCUAUA
This is a long non-coding RNA of Quercus robur (English oak), 2417 nucleotides long. RefSeq lists it as uncharacterized. The record is from RefSeq and is a predicted model, not a curated record. Lineage: Eukaryota; Viridiplantae; Streptophyta; Magnoliopsida; Fagales; Fagaceae. The transcript is spliced from 2 exons.